RNAcentral lists this ribosomal RNA (460 nucleotides) under uncultured bacterium. Its description in RNAcentral is "partial 16S ribosomal RNA". It matches the Rfam family "Bacterial small subunit ribosomal RNA", at positions 338 to 795 of the family's 1533-position model. The record is from RNAcentral.
CCUACGGGAGGCAGCAGUGAGGAAUAUUGGUCAAUGGACGAGAGUCUGAACCAGCCAAGUAGCGUGAAGGAUGACUGCCCUAUGGGUUGUAAACUUCUUUUAUAUGGGAAUAAAAUGUUCCACGUGUGGGAUUUUGUAUGUACCAUAUGAAUAAGGAUCGGCUAACUCCGUGCCAGCCGCCGCGGUAAUACGGAGGAUCCGAGCGUUAUCCGGAUUUAUUGGGUUUAAAGGGAGCGUAGGUGGAUUGUUAAGUCAGUUGUGAAAGUUUGCGGCUCAACCGUAAAAUUGCAGUUGAAACUGGCAGUCUUGAGUACAGUAGAGGUGGGCGGAAUUCGUGGUGUAGCGGUGAAAUGCUUAGAUAUCACGAAGAACUCCGAUUGCGAAGGCAGCUCACUGGACUGCAACUGACACUGAGGCUCGAAAGUGUGGGUAUCAAACAGGAUUAGAUACCCUUGUAGUC